This 696-nucleotide ribosomal RNA is filed under the name uncultured Planctomycetales bacterium. RNAcentral's name for it is "bacterial SSU rRNA". It matches the Rfam family "Bacterial small subunit ribosomal RNA", at positions 97 to 803 of the family's 1533-position model. The record is from RNAcentral. Lineage: Bacteria; Pseudomonadati; Planctomycetota; Planctomycetia; Planctomycetales.
GGCGGAAGGGAGAGGACAACAUGGGAAACUGCCCUGGGGACGAGGAUAGCGUCGGGAAACUGACGGUAAUACUCGAUAAUGUUUGCGGACCAAAGGUGUGAUUCCGCCCCAGGAUGUGCCCAUGCCCCAUUAGCUAGUUGGCGGUGUAAUGGACCACCAAGGCUAUGAUGGGUAGCUGGUGUGAGAGCACGACCAGCCUCACUGGCACUGAGACACUGGCCAGACACCUACGGGUGGCUGCAGUCGAGAAUCUUCGGCAAUGGACGAAAGUCUGACCGAGCGACGCCGCGUGCGGGAUGAAGGCCUUCGGGUUGUAAACCGCUGUCGAGGGGAAUCAAAUGCAAGGGGGUUCUCCCCCCUGCUUGAGAGAACCCUGGAGGAAGGGGAGGCUAAGCUCGUGCCAGCAGCCGCGGUAAGACGAGCUCCCCAAACGUUAUUCGGUAUCACUGGGCUUAAAGAGUUCGUAGGCGGCGAAGUAGGUGAGGUGUGAAAGCCCUCGGCUCAACCGAGGAACUGCGCUUCAAACCGCUUUGCUAGAGGGAGAUAGGGGUAAGCGGAACAGAUGGUGGAGCGGUGAAAUGCAUUGAUAUCAUCUGGAACACCGGUGGCGAAAGCGGCUUACUGGGUCUUUUCUGACGCUGAGGAACGAAAGCUAGGGUAGCGAACGGGAUUAGAUACCCCGGUAGUCCUAGCCGU